GUAGCCAAGCCAACAGCCAAUGUGACACAGAAAAGGCCAUUGAAGAGGGACGGGGAUGGAAUCUCGGCCGUAGAGUACAUGUGUAGUACCAGGCUGACUCUCCAACGCACUAAAAACAGAACACAGCAGAGCAAGCCGACAUGACAAGGACUCAAGAGAGGUUUCCAGCAGAGCGAGGACUAUGCGCAGCUGACUUUGGUGGCCUCGGUACAGUCGUCCCUUCUCCCGUCUGGAUUUGGCUGCAAUGCUGGAAUUAUGAACAAGGUAAGAGUCCUGAUGAUCCUCCUUACUCAUGAAGAAACUCAAGCUCUGAGCCUUCCGUUACCUGUGAAGUGGCUACAACUGACGUCAGAGCUGUCAGAUGCUGAGUUCUUUCCUCUACACAUCCCACGGCCACACAAGAAGAUACAGGCAGUGUCUUCCCACAGGAUGGGAGGUCCUGGUCCAGCAAGAAGACCGGAUAGCAGUGCAGGUCCUGUCUCCAAGAAGACUCCUUAUCUGAUUUGGAUGAGACUUCCCUGUAGGGGACACACCAUCAAGCAUGGUCAACUCUAGACCCUGUAAGUAGGAUUGUUGUCUGUAAAUCUGAACUCAACUUUCCAGUAUGAGGGGAAACUUUUUCUUCAAUUUCAGGCCCUUCUUUGCCUGAGACCUUCAUGUCUUUACAGUGUCCCCUCAAAACCCCUCUCAAGAGCUUGCUUGCUCUUUCCUGGCCAAAAGAUUCCAAAAGUCCCAAAUGACCAGUUUAAAGAAAAUUCAGUAGCCCUGCUAAUUGUGAAGAGAUGGCGUGCCGGCAAGAAGCCUUUACACACUGAUGCCUUUCAAUGGGGGCAGUUCCACAGCUGCUGACCACACUUCUCCAAUCCAAAGAAGAAUUGAAGGUUUCCAGUUUUGAAUCUGAUUUUAGACGACAGAAAUUUACUGCUGUAUGGUCUGAAAGCUGGAGGUCUGGAAUCCAGGUGUGGGUAAGGCUGUGCUCCCCUGAUGCCUGAGGUGACGGCUACCUUGCCUCUUUUGGCCUUUGAUGGGUAUGCAACAUCUCUUGGUUCCCAGCUGUACCACACACACCUCUGCCUUUGUUGUCAGAUGGCCUUCGUACUGUGUCUCUCUUCCCAUGCCACCCUUUAAGGCCACCACUUCCCCCGAAUCCAUGGCUGACUACUUCAAUGUGACCUGUGUUAACUAAUUCUUCAGUGGUUUCUAAACACGUGGUUAAUUUGCUCACUACAAUCCCUAAUAUCUAGAAAAGCACGGGCUCUAAGCACCGAUGGGUGAAUGUAUACAGGAGUGAGCGAGCGCUAACAAUAGCUAUGACCGCAAGCCGUAAUCCCAGUCUCCCGAUUUGGUGCCUGUGUGGUGGCUGUGUGCCAGGUUCAGCAUGGCUCAGCUACUUGCUCUUUGGCUGAUAAAUACCUUGUGUGUGUGUGAGGGGUGGGGGGAGCUUCCUGACUCACAUCUGCCCUACUUUUGCAAAGAAGCCACUCAUUUAGCCAGCAGACGCUGCUCCUGCGUUGCUCCAGUCCUGCAGAAUUGCCCCCACUCUGCUGCGCCAUUUCCAGACCCUUCCUGUCCCUCGCUCCCCUCUGUGGCUGUUUUUCAAGCCCCUCUCUCCUGCCUUAUGACAUGACCACAGAAAACCACUUGCCUCCCCGCUUCCCCUACCCUUGGCCUUUGGUGUAAGCAGUGCUGGAGGGACCUUGUUUCUUCCCCUGUGUGUGUGUGUGUGUGUGUGUGUGUGUGUGUGCUGGAGGGACCUUGUUUUUUUGACCUCAGGUAACUCCCAUUCUGACUUUAGACAACUCUUAUCUUCUCCCUUCAUUUUUCCUAACACUUGGGUUAGACCAAGAUUUCUCCUUCCGCGGACACUGGAACACUUGUCUGAAUUUGAAUUGCUAGUUUAAGGAUCAGGUAAGUGGGAAAGAGCUGUCCCGGUUAGAAAUGGCUGCUGUGGAAGGAGGAGUGUGUGUGUGCGUGUGUGCGUGUGUGUGUGUGUGUGUGUGUGCACGUGUGCAUGUGUGUGUGUGCAUGUGUGUGUGCGUGAACAUGUUUUGUGUGUGUGUGUGUGUGUGUGUGUGUGUGUGUGAAUGGAGGGGAUGUCCUAAAGCUUUACCCUCCCUGAGGUAAUUCUUUUUCUCUCCUAGGUCUGGUCUUCUCCUUCUCCAUGAAGUCCUGGCCUGUUUCUGCUCACCAGACCAUGCAAUUUAGCCUACUGUCCUGGAAACUCGAAGCAAGAAGGAACUCCUCCCUCCUUCUUCCUUCUUCCUUCUGAGAGAGAGAGAGAAAAAAAACAGAGAGAGAACAGAGAGAGAGAAGACAGAGAGAUUAGGAAAUGGCUACUGAGUUUGGACAGAGAUUGACACCCUCUCCAGGAAGUCCAGGCUGUCUUCCUGCUCACCAGCCCUUCAGCCAUGCGGAAAGGAGGUGCCAUGAAUGCUCCCCAACCCGCAGUCAUAUUUGCUGAAGCGGUGAGCCGCGGUUCCCAGCUGCCUCUCCACACAGGAACAAACAGCUCUCUAUGCAUAGUUCUGAGCCCUGGACUUGAGAAUCCCCUAAAGAAUGUUAAGGGGGUUUAGAAUUUCUUAGCAGAAACUGCCUUUGGAUAAAGAAAGUGGGAGGUGUCAACAUUUUACCCUGGCCUUUUGGGUCUAAAGAAUAAAGGCCUGUUCCUCACUAGAA
Arvicola amphibius (Eurasian water vole) is the source of this 2676-nucleotide long non-coding RNA. RefSeq lists it as uncharacterized. The record is from RefSeq and is a predicted model, not a curated record. NCBI's taxonomy places the organism in Eukaryota, Metazoa, Chordata, Mammalia, Rodentia, Cricetidae. The transcript is spliced from 3 exons.